CAGCAGCCACGGGAACACGAAGGGGGCUAGCGUUGUUCGGAAUUACUGGGCGUAAAGCGCACGUAGGCGGAUAUUUAAGUCAGGGGUGAAAUCCCAGAGCUCAACUCUGGAACUGCCUUUGAUACUGGGUAUCUUGAGUAUGGAAGAAGUGAGUGGAAUUCCGAGUGUAGAGGUGAAAUUCGUAGAUAUUCGGAGGAACACCAGUGGCGGAGGCGGCUCACUGGUCCAUUACUGACGCUGAGGUGCGAAAGCGUGGGGAGCAAACAGGAUUAGAGACCCCAGUAGUCCCUGUCUCUUAUAC
This 301-nucleotide ribosomal RNA is filed under the name uncultured bacterium. RNAcentral describes it as "partial 16S ribosomal RNA". It matches the Rfam family "Bacterial small subunit ribosomal RNA", at positions 509 to 807 of the family's 1533-position model. The record is from RNAcentral.